The sequence is a small RNA, 68 nucleotides long. It matches the Rfam family "Bacillaceae-1 RNA".
AAACAAGGAAGUUCGACUAAGUUCCACCACGUCCUGUGGUGAACAUCGAACGGCUAACAUCCUGUUAG